UGAAGAACGCAGCGAAAUGCGAUAAGUAAUGUGAAUUGCAGAAUUCAGUGAAUCAUCGAAUCUUUGAACGCACAUUGCGCCCUCUGGUAUUCCGGGGGGCAUGCCUGUUCGAGCGUCAUUAUAACCACUCAAGCUCUCGCUUGGUAUUGGGGUUCGCGGUUCCGCGGCCCCUAAAAUCAGUGGCGGUGCCUGUCGGCUCUACGCGUAGUAAUACUCCUCGCGAUUGAGUCCGGUAGGUCUACUUGCCAGCAACCCCCAAUUUUUACAGGUUGACCUCGGAUCAGGUAGGGAUACCCGCUGAACUUAAGAAUAUCAAUAAGCGGAGGA
RNAcentral lists this unclassified non-coding RNA (327 nucleotides) under soil metagenome. RNAcentral's name for it is "partial contains 5.8S ribosomal RNA, internal transcribed spacer 2, and large subunit ribosomal RNA". The stretch from base 1 to 118 matches the Rfam family "5.8S ribosomal RNA", at positions 37 to 154 of the family's 154-position model. The record is from RNAcentral.